AUUGAACGCUGGCGGCAUGCCUUACACAUGCAAGUCGAACGGUAACAGGUUAAGCUGACGAGUGGCGAACGGGUGAGUAAUAUAUCGGAACGUGCCCAGUCGUGGGGGAUAACGUAGCGAAAGCUACGCCAAUACCGCAUACGAUCUACGGAUGAAAGCGGGGGAUCGCAAGACCUCGCGCGAUUGGAGCGGCUGAUAUCGGAUAAGGUUGGUGGUGAGGUAAAAGCUCACCAAGCCUGCGAUCUGUAGCUGGUCUGAGAGGACGACCAGCCACACUGGAACUGAGACACGGUCCAGACUCCUACGGGAGGCAGCAGUGGGGAAUUUUGGACAAUGGACGCAAGUCUGAUCCAGCAAUGCCGCGUGCAGGACGAAGGCCUUCGGGUUGUAAACUGCUUUUGUACGGAACGAAACGGUGAGCUCUAAUACAGUUUGCUAAUGACGGUACCGUAAGAAUAAGCACCGGCUAACUACGUGCCAGCAGCCGCAGUAA
Molecule: ribosomal RNA, 493 nt
Filed under: uncultured bacterium
Lineage: Bacteria
Description: partial 16S ribosomal RNA
Rfam family: Bacterial small subunit ribosomal RNA
Source: RNAcentral